Molecule: transfer RNA, 73 nt
Filed under: Armatimonadota bacterium
Lineage: Bacteria; Bacillati; Armatimonadota
Also listed under: 1 other name
Description: Armatimonadetes bacterium (rhizosphere metagenome) tRNA-Gln
Rfam family: tRNA
About the family: Transfer RNA (tRNA) molecules are approximately 80 nucleotides in length.
Source: RNAcentral
UGCCGGAUAGUUCAGUUGGCAGAACGUCUGACUCUGGAUCAGAAGGUCCUAGGUUCGAAUCCUAGUCCGGCAG